ACCUGGUUGAUUCUGCCAGUAGUCAUAUGCUUGUCUCAAAGAUUAAGCCAUGCAUGUCUAAGUAUAAGCAAUUACAAAGCGAAACUGCGAAUGGCUCAUUAUAUAAGUUAUCGUUUAUUUGAUAGUACCUUACUACAUGGAUAACCGUGGUAAUUCU
This 157-nucleotide ribosomal RNA is filed under the name Verticillium longisporum. RNAcentral's name for it is "partial 18S ribosomal RNA". It matches the Rfam family "Eukaryotic small subunit ribosomal RNA", at positions 1 to 159 of the family's 1831-position model. The record is from RNAcentral. Lineage: Eukaryota; Fungi; Ascomycota; Sordariomycetes; Glomerellales; Plectosphaerellaceae.